RNAcentral lists this long non-coding RNA (555 nucleotides) under Felis catus (domestic cat). RNAcentral's name for it is "lncRNA (ENSFCAG00000053521.1)". The record is from RNAcentral. Lineage: Eukaryota; Metazoa; Chordata; Mammalia; Carnivora; Felidae.
AUGACAAGGAAGAGGGAGUAUCCUAGGGAGACCCUAAAGAGCUAUGAAAUUUCCCACGGUGUCCCUAGGGACAGUGUUGGGGAAAAAGAUGAAUUGCUUCAGCUCAGUCCAUUUUUAAGACAUUCUGUUCUGAAGAGGACAUUCAAUGUCACUCUACCAAAUCCUUCCCUGAUCAAGAGAGAAAACACUUUUACUACAGGACAAAAAGCCAAACAAAAACGCUCAGGAAGCAAAGUAAAAUCUUCUAAAUGUCCUGGGCUGCAUACAUCAUCAGAGGAGAAUUUUGAUCACCUGUUUCCAGGCCUUGGUAAAGCAAUUCAGGAUAAAUGUUCCAUAAGACCCUGGGUGGCUAAUUCAUGGAUUGUGAUAAAAAAACACAACAUCCAAGCAACACCUAGCAAAGGGCAUAUGGGUAUGAAUAUAUGAGAUUCUGGACUUAAAAUGAAAUACAAACAAGAUUGACACUGCACUGUCUGAAGUAUUCUUCAUGCUGCAGUAGGAUCCUUUAUAGGAGUCUUUUUUUUUUCUUUUUAGCAAAAUGUCUAAUCAUGUGAC